This 352-nucleotide unclassified non-coding RNA is filed under the name soil metagenome. RNAcentral describes it as "partial contains 5.8S ribosomal RNA, internal transcribed spacer 2, and large subunit ribosomal RNA". The stretch from base 1 to 120 matches the Rfam family "5.8S ribosomal RNA", at positions 35 to 154 of the family's 154-position model. The record is from RNAcentral.
GAUGAAGAACGUAGUGAAAUGCGAUAAGUAAUGUGAAUUGCAGAAUUCAGUGAAUCAUCGAAUCUUUGAACGCACAUUGCGCCCGCCAGUAUUCUGGCGGGCAUGCCUGUUCGAGCGUCAUUACAACCCUCAGGCCCCCGGGCCUGGCGUUGGGGAUCGGCGGAGCCCCCCGUGGGCACACGCCGUCCCCCAAAUGCAGUGGCGGUCCCGCCGCAGCUUCCAUCGCGUAGUAGCUAACACCUCGCGACUGGAGAGCGGCGCGGCCACGCCGUAAAACACCCAACUCUUCUGAAGUUGACCUCGCAUCAGGUAGGAAUACCCGCUGAACUUAAGCAUAUCAAUAAGCGGAGGA